RNAcentral lists this ribosomal RNA (347 nucleotides) under uncultured Lachnospiraceae bacterium. Its description in RNAcentral is "bacterial SSU rRNA". It matches the Rfam family "Bacterial small subunit ribosomal RNA", at positions 28 to 339 of the family's 1533-position model. The record is from RNAcentral. Lineage: Bacteria; Bacillati; Bacillota; Clostridia; Lachnospirales; Lachnospiraceae.
GAUGAACGCUGGCGGCGUGCUUAACACAUGCAAGUCGAACGAAGCAUCCCUCCCGAUGAAGUGGAAGUGCUUGCACAGAAGCGGAAUCAUUUGGGAUGACUUAGUGGCGGACGGGUGAGUAACGCGUGGGUAACCUGCCCCAUAGAGGGGGACAACAGUUAGAAAUGACUGCUAAUACCGCAUAGUAAUACAGAUCCGCAUGCUUCUGUAUUGAAAGCUUUUGCGCUAUGGGAUGGACCCGCGUCUGAUUAGCUAGUUGGUGAGGUAACGGCUCACCAAGGCGACGAUCAGUAGGGGUUCUGAGAGGAAGGUCCCCCACAUUGGAACUGAGACACGGUCCAAACUCC